UCAGGCCUAACACAUGCAAGUCGAGCGAGGUAGCGAUACCUAGCGGCGGACGGGUGAGUAACGCGUGGGAACGUACCCUUUGGUUCGGAAUAGCCCUGGGAAACUGGGAGUAAUACCGGAUACGGUCGAGAGACGAAAGAUUUAUCGCCGAAGGAUCGGCCCGCGUUGGAUUAGGUAGUUGGUGGGGUAAUGGCCUACCAAGCCGACGAUCCAUAGCUGGUUUGAGAGGAUGAUCAGCCACACUGGGACUGAGACACGGCCCAGACUCCUACGGGAGGCAGCAGUGGGGAAUCUAAGAGAAUGGGCGCAAGCCUGAUCUAGCCAUGCCGCGUAUUUAUGAGAGGCCUUAGGGUUGUAAAGCUCUUUCAGGGGGAAGAUAAUGA
Molecule: ribosomal RNA, 383 nt
Filed under: uncultured bacterium
Lineage: Bacteria
Description: bacterial SSU rRNA
Rfam family: Bacterial small subunit ribosomal RNA
Source: RNAcentral